UACGGAGGGGGCUAGCGUUGUUCGGAAUUACUGGGCGUAAAGCGCGCGUAGGCGGACCUGCAAGUCGGGGGUGAAAGCCCGAGGCUCAACCUCGGAACUGCCUUCGAUACUGCGGGUCUCGAGUCCGGGAGAGGUGAGUGGGAAUUCCUAGUGUAGAGGUGAAAUUCGUAGAUAUUAGGAAGAACACCAGUGGCGAAGGCGGCUCACUGGCCCGGUACUGACGCUGAGGCGCGAAAGCGUGGGGAGCAAACAGGGAUUAAGAAAC
RNAcentral lists this ribosomal RNA (265 nucleotides) under uncultured bacterium. RNAcentral describes it as "partial 16S ribosomal RNA". It matches the Rfam family "Bacterial small subunit ribosomal RNA", at positions 524 to 785 of the family's 1533-position model. The record is from RNAcentral.